This 253-nucleotide ribosomal RNA is filed under the name uncultured bacterium. RNAcentral describes it as "partial 16S ribosomal RNA". It matches the Rfam family "Bacterial small subunit ribosomal RNA", at positions 524 to 776 of the family's 1533-position model. The record is from RNAcentral.
UACGUAGGGUGCGAGCGUUAAUCGGAAUUACUGGGCGUAAAGCGUGCGCAGGCGGUUCGUUGUGUCGGUGGUGAAAGCCCCGGGCUUAACCUGGGAAUGGCCAUGGAAACUGGCGAACUGGAGUGUGGCAGAGGGGGGUGGAAUUCCGCGUGUAGCAGCGAAAUGCGUAGAGAUUCGGAGGAACACCGAUGGCGAAGGCAGCCCCCUGGGCUAGCACUGACGCUCAGGCACGAAAGCGUGGGGAGCAAACAGG